AUAUGAAGGCGGGCUGGAACCUCUCGGGGGUUACAGCCUUGCUGAAUUAUUCACCCUUGUCUUUUGCGUACUUCUUGUUUCCUUGGUGGGUUCGCCCACCACUAGGACAAACAUAAACCUUUUGUAAUUGCAAUCAGCGUCAGUAACAAAUUAAUAAUUACAACUUUCAACAACGGAUCUCUUGGUUCUGGCAUCGAUGAAGAACGCAGCGAAAUGCGAUAAGUAGUGUGAAUUGCAGAAUUCAGUGAAUCAUCGAAUCUUUGAACGCACAUUGCGCCCUUUGGUAUUCCAAAGGGCAUGCCUGUUCGAGCGUCAUUUGUACCCUCAAGCUUUGCUUGGUGUUGGGCGUCUUGUCUCUAGCUUUGCUGGAGACUCGCCUUAAAGUAAUUGGCAGCCGGCCUACUGGUUUCGGAGCGCAGCACAAGUCGCACUCUCUAUCAGCAAAGGUCUAGCAUCCAUUAAGCCUUUUUUCAACUUUUGACCUCGGAUCAGGUAGGGAUACCCGCUGAACUUAAGCAUAUCA
This 523-nucleotide ribosomal RNA is filed under the name Alternaria chartarum. Its description in RNAcentral is "eukaryotic LSU rRNA". The stretch from base 162 to 315 matches the Rfam family "5.8S ribosomal RNA". Lineage: Eukaryota; Fungi; Ascomycota; Dothideomycetes; Pleosporales; Pleosporaceae. The record is from RNAcentral.